AUCUGGAGUCUGUUACAUAUCUAUCCCACCACUUGGGAGACUGAAACAGGAAGAUUGCUAGGACUUCAUGGCCAGCCUGCCCUAAAUAAUGAAACAUCUUGACUGACAACUGAUAGAUAAUUGAGGAUGGAUGGAUGGAUGGAUGGAUGGAUGGAUGGAUGGAUGGAUGAUCUAGCACAGCUCCCAAACCUUGUCCAGGAGCCACAAGUUCCAACUUGAGUCCCGUUGUUGACUGAAGCACCAGGAAAUGCUGAACCAAUCAAAUGCAGUUAUCCAGCUUUGUUGCUGUAUCCUCUAGCCCCUAGUGUGUUGAAGUCAGUUUUGUGGAAUUGGAAGGUCUCUGUCAGCCACAGUGAAUGAGAUGAACCCUGCAGAAAUCUCUACUUCACAUCCUGACCUUUACACAAGCACAUGAGGACACAGAAGAGAAGGCCCUUACCAGAACCCAACCAAGCUGACCUUUGACCCUGUCGAGCUGAGUAAUGAAUUUCUGUCACCUACGGGAUACCUAUUUAUGGUAGUCAGCUCUCUGUCACUGUAAUGGAUGAUGAAGAUGAUACAGCUUAUGGAGUG
RNAcentral lists this long non-coding RNA (573 nucleotides) under Cricetulus griseus (Chinese hamster). RNAcentral describes it as "lncRNA (ENSCGRG00015032921.1)". Lineage: Eukaryota; Metazoa; Chordata; Mammalia; Rodentia; Cricetidae. The record is from RNAcentral.